UCCUCGAUGGUCUAACGGUCAUGAUUUCCGCUUGUCACUCAUUCAGAGAACAAGCGCGGGAGACCUGGGUUCGACUCCCAGUCGGGGAG
This 89-nucleotide transfer RNA is filed under the name Aspergillus steynii IBT 23096. It matches the Rfam family "tRNA". From Rfam's summary of the family: Transfer RNA (tRNA) molecules are approximately 80 nucleotides in length. The record is from Rfam by way of RNAcentral. Lineage: Eukaryota; Fungi; Ascomycota; Eurotiomycetes; Eurotiales; Aspergillaceae.